GCGUUCAUAGUUUAGGGGUAGAAUACGAGCUUCCCAUGUUACCAAGCAAGCUUAUGCUCGUGGUCCGAGUUCGAGUCUCGGUGGACGCA
This is a non-coding RNA of Phaeosphaeriaceae sp. PMI808, 89 nucleotides long. NCBI's taxonomy places the organism in Eukaryota, Fungi, Ascomycota, Dothideomycetes, Pleosporales, Phaeosphaeriaceae. The record is from the annotation of a GenBank genome assembly.